Molecule: ribosomal RNA, 401 nt
Filed under: Aromatoleum sp.
Lineage: Bacteria; Pseudomonadati; Pseudomonadota; Betaproteobacteria; Rhodocyclales; Rhodocyclaceae
Description: bacterial SSU rRNA
Rfam family: Bacterial small subunit ribosomal RNA
Source: RNAcentral
GCCCUAAACGAUGUCGACUAGUCGUUCGGAGAGGUAACUCACUGAGUGACGCAGCUAACGCGUGAAGUCGACCGCCUGGGGAGUACGGCCGCAAGGUUAAAACUCAAAGGAAUUGACGGGGACCCGCACAAGCGGUGGAUGAUGUGGAUUAAUUCGAUGCAACGCGAAAAACCUUACCUACCCUUGACAUGCCUGGAAUCCUUGAGAGAUCAGGGAGUGCCUUCGGGAACCAGGACACAGGUGCUGCAUGGCUGUCGUCAGCUCGUGUCGUGAGAUGUUGGGUUAAGUCCCGCAACGAGCGCAACCCUUGUCGCUAAUUGCCAUCAUUUAGUUGGGCACUUUAGCGAGACUGCCGGUGACAAACCGGAGGAAGGUGGGGAUGACGUCAAGUCCUCAUGGCC